CCUACGUGAGGCAGCAGUGAGGAAUAUUGGUCAAUGGGCGCGAGCCUGGACCAGCCAAGUAGCGUGAAGGAUGACUGCCCUAAGGGUUGUAAACUUCUUUUAUAAAGGAAUAAAGUGAGGCUCGUGAGCCUUUUUGUAGGUACUUUAUGAAUAAGGAUCGGCUAACUCCGUGCCAGCAGCCGCGGUAAUACGGAGGAUCCGAGCGUUAUCCGGAUUUAUUGGGUUUAAAGGGAGCGUAGAUGGGUUGUUAAGUCAGUUGUGAAAGUUUGCGGCUCAACCGUAAAAUUGCAAUUGAUACUGGCAGUCUUGAGUACAGUUGAGGUAGGCGGAAUUCGUGGUGUAGCGGUGAAAUGCUUAGAUAUCACGAAGAACUCCGAUUGCGAAGGCAGCUUACUAAACUGCCACUGACAUUGAUGCUCGAAAGUGUGGGUAUCAAACAGGAUUAGAUACCCCAGUAGUC
This 460-nucleotide ribosomal RNA is filed under the name uncultured bacterium. RNAcentral describes it as "partial 16S ribosomal RNA". It matches the Rfam family "Bacterial small subunit ribosomal RNA", at positions 338 to 795 of the family's 1533-position model. The record is from RNAcentral.